UAAGGAAUCUUCCACAAUGGACGAAAGUCUGAUGGAGCAAUACCGCGUGCAGGAAGACGCGUUUCGGCGUGUAAACUGCUUUUAUCACCGAUGAUUAUGACAGUAGGUGAAGAAUAAGGACCGGCUAACUACGUGCCAGCAGCCGCGGUAAUACGUAGGGUCCAAGCGUUAUCCGGAAUUACUGGGCGUAAAGCGUGCGCAGACGGUGAAACAGGUCAGAUGCGAAAUCCUGCGGCUCAACCGUAUGGACUGUGUCUGAAACCGUUUUACUAGAGGUCGGUAGAGGCAAGUGGAAUUUCUGGUGUAGGGGUGACAUCCGUAGAUAUCAGAAGGAACACCAAUGGCGAAGGCAGCUUGCUGGGCCGUACCUGACGUUCAUGCACGAAAGCGUGGGGAGCGA
Molecule: ribosomal RNA, 400 nt
Filed under: uncultured bacterium
Lineage: Bacteria
Description: bacterial SSU rRNA
Rfam family: Bacterial small subunit ribosomal RNA
Source: RNAcentral